UACGUAGGUGGCAAGCGUUGUCCGGAUUUACUGGGCGUAAAGAGCGCGCAGGCGGUCGGAUAAGUCGAAUGUGAAAGCCCCCGGCUCAACUGGGGAGGGUCAUUCGAUACUGUUCGACUCGAAGGCAGGAGAGGGAAGUGGAAUUCCCGGUGUAGUGGUGAAAUGCGUAGAUAUCGGUAGGAACACCAGUGGCGAAGGCGGUCUCCUGGGGCACACUUGACGCUGAUGCGCGAAAGCUGGGGGAGCGAACGGG
Molecule: ribosomal RNA, 253 nt
Filed under: uncultured bacterium
Lineage: Bacteria
Description: partial 16S ribosomal RNA
Rfam family: Bacterial small subunit ribosomal RNA
Source: RNAcentral